AACUGAAGCAUAUAAACUUCGUGCCGCCAGAUUAGUAGAAAUUGCUGCGAAAAACCUUCAAACUGAAGUGAUUCACAGAAAAAGCAAGGAGGUAGCAUGGAACCUAACUUCUGUUGACCUCGUUCAAGCAAGUGAGGCACAUUGCCACUAUGUGGUAGUUAAGCUCUUUUCAGAAAAACUCCUGAAAAUUCAAGAUAAAUCCAUUCAAGCUGUCUUAAGGGA
Microcebus murinus (gray mouse lemur) is the source of this 222-nucleotide non-coding RNA. The record is from RefSeq and is a predicted model, not a curated record. NCBI's taxonomy places the organism in Eukaryota, Metazoa, Chordata, Mammalia, Primates, Cheirogaleidae.